AACUUUCGACCUGAGCUCAGGCAAG
This 25-nucleotide ribosomal RNA is filed under the name Pectinodesmus pectinatus. Its description in RNAcentral is "partial 28S ribosomal RNA". The record is from RNAcentral. Lineage: Eukaryota; Viridiplantae; Chlorophyta; Chlorophyceae; Sphaeropleales; Scenedesmaceae.